GGAAAAACAACCACUGAUGUAAUGUACUUUCUAAACUAAACACAAGGCAUACUCUGUUGCAGCCAUUUGAAUAAUGAUUAAAAGGAAAACCAAAACAAAGAUAAUUUGGACUACUUAGUCCUGAAUACUGAAAGAAAAAGUGUGAGCUCUUCCAUGGUGUGUGGCUGGGAAAUAUUAGCCCUGAACUUUAUGUGCUCUGGAUCAUCUCUGCUCCUAGAGGAGAAAAGAAGGACCUACUCCUAGGUAGGGGGAAAACAGCAAAAAGAGAUUUUGUAUUAGAUAGAGGGAGUAGAGAUGUUCAUGGGAAUUGGAUCAUGCCAGGCAGAGGGGCAAUAGAAAUAUCAUGGACCUCUAGUGACCAUCUAGUAUGGUCCUACAAGGCCCAUCUGAGAUAUCUUUUUGUCCAAAUGUCCAACAGGACACUCUUUGGAAAGAGUGCAGAAGAUUAAUCAAGAGGAAAACGAGCAGAGGUUUAAUUUACACUCCCAUUUCACAGAAAGACAUCACAACAGCACUUGCUUGUGUGAGGUUUCUGACUGCUUUUUAUGGAAUGAAAGAAAAAUCACAUGAAUUUCAGCUGGAGCAAAGCCAUAGAACUUGAUUUCAUAAUGCAAAUCAUUACAACUCUGGUGCAUCUGGUAUGAGUCACUGGUAUAUUUCACUGAAUUUCUUUGUAUCUGAAGUCAAUCCUUUUCCCUGGGAGGCUCCAAAGUAGAAACAAUGAUAAACUGGUUCUCCUGCCCUGAGCACUCAGGUUCAAUAUGAACAAUGACAACUUUGAUAAAGUUACCAAGCAGAUUUUGGCUAGAGCUAAGAGAGCAAUUUAUAUUAAAC
Molecule: long non-coding RNA, 834 nt
Filed under: Parus major (Great Tit)
Lineage: Eukaryota; Metazoa; Chordata; Aves; Passeriformes; Paridae
Description: lncRNA (ENSPMJG00000001038.1)
Source: RNAcentral